AAAAAAAUCAAAAUUAAUAUAGCAUAAAUUUGGUAUUUUUUUGUGGCACAUUGCAUUUGUGCCAAUUUUUAAAGAAUACAGUAUUUGAAUGUAUUUCUUUUCCAGCAAAAAAUAAAUACUACUUUUGGUCCAUUUUACAGGAAAGUUUAAAUAUAUAUUAUAUCCAGAAUAAAUGGCCAGUAGUACAAAUCCCCCAUAUAUAUUAUAUCCACAAUAAUAGGCCAGUAGUACAAAUCCCCCCAAAUGGAUAAUAAUGUGAGUCAAAUUUGUAUGGUCACACAUAGGUUAUCUAAUGCAAAGCAAGAAUAACAACAGGAGUGGACAGUAAAAUAUUUAUAAAGACAAUGAAUGUACACUUCCAUAGUGUAGACCAGCAAGCAUUAAGAAUCAGAAAAUAUCUGGG
Molecule: long non-coding RNA, 403 nt
Filed under: Mytilus galloprovincialis (Mediterranean mussel)
Lineage: Eukaryota; Metazoa; Mollusca; Bivalvia; Mytilida; Mytilidae
Source: RNAcentral